RNAcentral lists this unclassified non-coding RNA (292 nucleotides) under uncultured fungus. RNAcentral's name for it is "partial contains 5.8S ribosomal RNA, internal transcribed spacer 2, and large subunit ribosomal RNA". The stretch from base 1 to 52 matches the Rfam family "5.8S ribosomal RNA", at positions 103 to 154 of the family's 154-position model. The record is from RNAcentral. Lineage: Eukaryota; Fungi.
AACGCACAUUGCGCCCUAUGGUAUUCCGUAGGGCAUGCCUGUCUGAGCGUCAACUCCCACCCUCUCAAGUCUUCUUUUGUUAAGGAGAUUUGGAUUGCUUUGAGGAAGUAUCAUUUUAUAUAAUGCUGCUCCUCAGAAAUCUAUAGGCAGUAUGGUCAAACCUGAACCAGACGUAAUAAUUCUAUAAAUUUCGUCUAAUGAAGGAAAAGUCUGUAUUAGUCUUUAAUUUUUUUAUAUAUAUAUUUUUUUUUUGGGUGACCUCAGAUCAGGUAGGGAUACCCGCUGAACUUAA